AGAGUUUGAUCAUGGCUCAGGAUGAACGCUGGCGGCGUGCCUAACACAUGCAAGUCGAACGGAGUUCUUAAGGAAUGCGGCUUCGGUCAAAUGACUUUUGAACUUAGUGGCGGACGGGUGAGUAACGCGUGAGCAACCUGCCUUUCAGAGGGGGAUAACAUUUGGAAACAGAUGCUAAUACCGCAUAAGAUUACAGUACCGCAUGAUACAGUGAUCAAAGGAGCAAUCCGCUGAAAGAUGGGCUCGCGUCCGAUUAGAUAGUUGGUGAGGUAACGGCUCACCAAGUCGACGAUCGGUAGCCGGACUGAGAGGUUGAACGGCCACAUUGGGACUGAGACACGGCCCAGACUCCUACGGGAGGCAGCAGUGGGGAAUAUUGCACAAUGGGCGAAAGCCUGAUGCAGCAACGCCGCGUGAGGGAAGACGGUUUUCGGAUUGUAAACCUCUGUUUUCGGUGACGAACAAAUGACGGUAACCGAGUAGGAAGCCACGGCUAACUACGUGCCAGCAGCCGCGGUAUACGUAGGUGGCAAGCGUUAUCCGGAAUUACUGGGUGUAAAGGGAGCGCA
RNAcentral lists this ribosomal RNA (569 nucleotides) under uncultured bacterium. RNAcentral's name for it is "bacterial SSU rRNA". It matches the Rfam family "Bacterial small subunit ribosomal RNA", at positions 8 to 573 of the family's 1533-position model. The record is from RNAcentral.